RNAcentral lists this transfer RNA (84 nucleotides) under Neolentinus lepideus HHB14362 ss-1. RNAcentral's name for it is "tRNA-Val". Lineage: Eukaryota; Fungi; Basidiomycota; Agaricomycetes; Gloeophyllales; Gloeophyllaceae. The record is from RNAcentral.
GGACCGAUGGUGUAGUUGGUUAUCACGCCUGUCUAACACUGCUAAGUGCACAGGCGGUCCUCAGUUCAAGUCUGGGUCGGUUCA